UGACAAAGUUUAACGGCCGCGGUACCCUAACCGUGCGAAGGUAGCAUAAUCACUUGUUCUUUAAAUAGGGACUCGUAUCAACGGCAUCACGAGGGCUAUACUGUCUCCUUUCUCCAAUCAGUGAAACUGAUCUUCCCGUGAAGAAGCGGGAAUUAUUAUAUAAGACGAGAAGACCCCAUGGAGCUUUAAACUCAAUAUAUAUUUCUACGCACUUAUAUCACUUUUAGCCUAAGAAAACUAUGUAUUAGUUUUAGGUUGGGGGGACCGCGGAGAAAAAAUUAACCUCCACGACAAAUAGGCCAACGCCUUUAUCUAUGAACCACAAUUCUAAGAAUCAAUAAACUGAUGUUUAAUGAUCCAAUUUUUUGAUCAACGAACCAAGUUACCCUGGGGAUAACAGCGCAAUCUACUUCAAGAGCUCCUAUCGACAAGUGGGUUUACGACCUCGAUGUUGGAUCAGGGUAUCCUAGUGGUGCAGCCGCUACUAAAGGUUCGUUUGUUCAACGAUUAUAACCCUACGUGAUCU
Molecule: ribosomal RNA, 526 nt
Filed under: Pelophylax bedriagae (Levant water frog)
Lineage: Eukaryota; Metazoa; Chordata; Amphibia; Anura; Ranidae
Description: partial 16S ribosomal RNA
Rfam family: Bacterial large subunit ribosomal RNA
Source: RNAcentral